RNAcentral lists this transfer RNA (89 nucleotides) under Firmicutes bacterium CAG:552. RNAcentral's name for it is "transfer RNA-Ser(CGA)". It matches the Rfam family "tRNA". From Rfam's summary of the family: Transfer RNA (tRNA) molecules are approximately 80 nucleotides in length. Their secondary structure includes four short double-helical elements and three loops (D, anti-codon, and T loops). Further hydrogen bonds mediate the characteristic L-shaped molecular structure. tRNAs have two regions of fundamental functional importance: the anti-codon, which is responsible for specific mRNA codon recognition, and the 3' end, to which the tRNAs corresponding amino acid is attached (by aminoacyl-tRNA synthetases). tRNAs cope with the degeneracy of the genetic code in two manners: having more than one tRNA (with a specific anti-codon) for a particular amino acid; and 'wobble' base-pairing, i.e. permitting non-standard base-pairing at the 3rd anti-codon position. The record is from RNAcentral. Lineage: Bacteria; Bacillati; Bacillota. RNAcentral also lists the same sequence under 2 other names.
GGAGCGGUAUCGAAGUGGUCAUAACGGCCCUGACUCGAAAUCAGGUAACGGGCAACCGUUCGUGGGUUCGAAUCCCACCUGCUCCGCCA